RNAcentral lists this transfer RNA (70 nucleotides) under Dipodomys ordii (Ord's kangaroo rat). It matches the Rfam family "tRNA". Rfam says of the family: Transfer RNA (tRNA) molecules are approximately 80 nucleotides in length. Their secondary structure includes four short double-helical elements and three loops (D, anti-codon, and T loops). Further hydrogen bonds mediate the characteristic L-shaped molecular structure. tRNAs have two regions of fundamental functional importance: the anti-codon, which is responsible for specific mRNA codon recognition, and the 3' end, to which the tRNAs corresponding amino acid is attached (by aminoacyl-tRNA synthetases). tRNAs cope with the degeneracy of the genetic code in two manners: having more than one tRNA (with a specific anti-codon) for a particular amino acid; and 'wobble' base-pairing, i.e. permitting non-standard base-pairing at the 3rd anti-codon position. Lineage: Eukaryota; Metazoa; Chordata; Mammalia; Rodentia; Heteromyidae. The record is from Rfam by way of RNAcentral.
GGGAAAGUGGCUCAGUGGUAGAGUGCCUGCCUUGCAUGCAUGAAGCCCUGGGUUCGAUUCCUUAGCACCA